GGCGCUGUACCCAAGUGGCUAAGGGAAAGACCCGCAAAGUCUUUAUUCAGUGGUUCGAGUCCACUCGGCGCCU
This 73-nucleotide transfer RNA is filed under the name Fulvivirga marina. It matches the Rfam family "tRNA". From Rfam's summary of the family: Transfer RNA (tRNA) molecules are approximately 80 nucleotides in length. Their secondary structure includes four short double-helical elements and three loops (D, anti-codon, and T loops). Further hydrogen bonds mediate the characteristic L-shaped molecular structure. tRNAs have two regions of fundamental functional importance: the anti-codon, which is responsible for specific mRNA codon recognition, and the 3' end, to which the tRNAs corresponding amino acid is attached (by aminoacyl-tRNA synthetases). tRNAs cope with the degeneracy of the genetic code in two manners: having more than one tRNA (with a specific anti-codon) for a particular amino acid; and 'wobble' base-pairing, i.e. permitting non-standard base-pairing at the 3rd anti-codon position. Lineage: Bacteria; Pseudomonadati; Bacteroidota; Cytophagia; Cytophagales; Fulvivirgaceae. The record is from Rfam by way of RNAcentral.